GCGGAAGUGGUGGAAUGGCAGACACGCAAGUCUUAGGAACUUGUGCCUCCCAAGGCGUGCGGGUUCGACUCCCGCCUUCCGCACCA
This 86-nucleotide transfer RNA is filed under the name bacterium. RNAcentral describes it as "tRNA-Leu". It matches the Rfam family "tRNA". From Rfam's summary of the family: Transfer RNA (tRNA) molecules are approximately 80 nucleotides in length. Their secondary structure includes four short double-helical elements and three loops (D, anti-codon, and T loops). RNAcentral also lists the same sequence under 2 other names. The record is from RNAcentral.